CAAGUCGAACGAGAAAGUGGAGCAAUCCAUGAGUAAAGUGGCGUACGGGUGAGUAACACGUGGGUUAUCUGCCCUUGAGUGGGGAAUAACGAUGGGAAACUGUCGCUAAUACCGCAUAUUCCCGAGAGGGGAAAGCAGCAAUGCGCUCAAGGAGGAGCCCGCGGCCGAUUAGCUAGUUGGUAGGGUAAUGGCCUACCAAGGCUUCGAUCGGUAGCCGGCCUGAGAGGGCACACGGCCACACUGGCACUGAAACACGGGCCAGACUCCUACGGGAGGCAGCAGUGGGGAAUCUUGCACAAUGGGGGCAACCCUGAGGCAGCGACGCCGCGUGAGCGAUGAAGCCCUUCGGGGUGUAAAGCUCUUUCGGCAGGGAAGAUAAUGACGGUACCUGCAGAAGCAGCUGCGGCUAACUACGUGCCAGCAGCCGCGGUAAUACGUAGGCAGCAAGCGUUGUUCGGAGUUACCGGGCGUAAAGGGUGUGUAGGCGGCUUUCUAAGUUUGGUGUGAAAUCUCCCGGCUCAACCGGGAGGGUGCGCCGAAGACUGGGAGGCUAGAGUAUGGGAUGGGAAGAAUUGGAAUUCCUGGUGUAGCGGUGAAAUGCGUAGAUAUCAGGAGGAACACCUGCGGUGUAGACGGCUCUCUGGACCAUCACUGACGCUGAGACACGAAAGCGUGGGUAGCAAACAGGAUUAGAUACCCUGGUAGUCCACGCCCUAAACGAUGCAUAUUUGGUGUGGGUCAUUCAUUUGAUCCGUGCCGGAGCUAACGCGUUAAAUAUGCCGCCCUGGGGAGUACAGUCGCAAGGCUGAAACUCAAAGGAAUUGACGGGGGCCCGCACAAGCGGUGGAGCAUGUGGUUCAAUUCGACGCACCGCGAAGAACCUUACCUAGGCUCGAAAUGCUUUGGACCAUCCUUAGAAAUAGGGACUUU
Molecule: ribosomal RNA, 930 nt
Filed under: uncultured Bacillota bacterium
Lineage: Bacteria; Bacillati; Bacillota
Description: bacterial SSU rRNA
Rfam family: Bacterial small subunit ribosomal RNA
Source: RNAcentral